AUGACUUUGAUCUGCGUCCUCAUCUGGACUCUCCUCUGCUGCUGCUUCACAGAGUCCAGAGGACAGGUCACAGUGACUCAGCCUGCAGCAGUGACAUCUGAUCUGGGAGGAACCGUCACCAUCACAUGUAAAACCAGUCAGAAUGUUCAUGUUUGGAGUGGUUACCAUCUGUUAGCCUGGUACCAACAGAAAGAUGGACAAACUCCUAAACUCCUCAUAUACUAUGCUAGCAGCAGAGAAUCAGGGAUUCCAGGUCGUUUUACAGGCAGUGGAUCAAACUCUGACUUCACUCUGACCAUCAGUGGAGUUCAGGCUGAAGAUGCUGCAGUUUAUUACUGUCAGAGUUAUCAUAGCGGCUAUGUGUUCACACAGUGAAAAACAGUCGUACAAAAACCUUCCUCAAUCAGACAGAACAGAAACUGAACUGACUGAUACAGUUCAGUGACCAGACACACACACACACACACACACAAAUUCAAGAACCGGUAAAUCUUAAGAAUAUUUGUUAAAAAUAUGAAUAUUUCAUGACAAUUUUAUCAACUGAAAACUAUCUUGGUGGAAACACACAUUAUAUGAUUAUAGAGUUGUGUUUUAUCUAUUUCUUCAUUAAUAUCUAUAAUGGUGUGCAGAAAGCAUCAUGGAGCAGCAUCAUGUGACAGUCAUAGAAAAAGCUUGUGACUUUGUGCUAGUAACUGUCUUAAUCGUACUGAACUUAAAAGGUAAAAAUGAUGAAAACACUGAUCAUCAUCAGUAAACUUACCAAGGAAAUAAUAAUUAAAAGUAGAUAAAACAUCCCCCAAAUUUCCAGAAUAUUACUUUAAACAACAAUGAUAUAAAACUUUCCUCUGAGUCAACUGAAACCAUUAAAAAGUAAAGAAUAAAAACCCAGUUAAUACUGUGGAGCUCAAAGUCUGUCCAGCAGAAAGAAAUGGAGCAGUUAAGCUCAGCAAGGUCUAUUUAGUGACUACAGAGUAGCUUUCAGUUGUAUCACAUGACUCUUGAUGACAUGGAGCUUCAUUUUUACCUUUGGGAUCAGAUUCUCUAAAUCUGAUGUAUUUGUUUACUUAUUCUACCAUUUUUUUUUUCAU
Melanotaenia boesemani (Boeseman's rainbowfish) is the source of this 1088-nucleotide non-coding RNA. The record is from the annotation of a RefSeq genome assembly. Lineage: Eukaryota; Metazoa; Chordata; Actinopteri; Atheriniformes; Melanotaeniidae.